Molecule: unclassified non-coding RNA, 474 nt
Filed under: Hevea brasiliensis (rubber tree)
Lineage: Eukaryota; Viridiplantae; Streptophyta; Magnoliopsida; Malpighiales; Euphorbiaceae
Source: RNAcentral
AGAGACACAAAUCAAAACAUAUCCAUAUUCAACGUUAAACAUCUUAGAAGUAUCUAAAACAAGCUUCAUGAUACAAAGCGGGCAGAAAGGUGACAGGCAAGAAAUAUAUUAGCACUUCAAAAAUCUGAUAAUCUCAAUUCUUGACCUGCUUUUGCCCAUAAAUAUGUGCUACAAGAAACUUUACAAGAGAUCCACUAAAAGGAUAUUUGCAAUUCUGCUAGUCAUUGUUGACAAGAAAUACUAGCAUAGUGAACUGCUUGAUUUGUUUCUAAUGCUAAUGGUUUACGGUCAAGGUAUAAGUGAACAGAGACCAAAGGAAACGCCACAAGAGGGUCAUCAAAUCUUAGAAACAUGAACUAUGCAUUGACUGUUUAUAUUUCUUGAUUGAGCAUUGACCACGAGCCACAUGCAUCAUUCCUUUUACGCAACUGCAAGUAUUUAAGACGGACAAAAUUUCCUGCUUGCCACUGUAAU